RNAcentral lists this long non-coding RNA (372 nucleotides) under Jatropha curcas. RNAcentral describes it as "long non-coding RNA (JCUR_LNC003419)". Lineage: Eukaryota; Viridiplantae; Streptophyta; Magnoliopsida; Malpighiales; Euphorbiaceae. The record is from RNAcentral.
AGUGCCAGAGUGAUGAAUGUGUUGCUGAAUAAAAGAUGGCAAAUGGGGUCUAAAAGAAUGGUGCGUUUCACUCUCAUCCUCAAUUCUUUCAUGAGAAACAUGGGUCACUUGGAUUGGUGGUGGAUAAUCAAGAGGGGAGUCAAGUUCUUGAUUGUGAGAUGUGUGAUACACGUGGGUUUCUUGAAUUCCGGGUGGUGGUGGACGUGCAUACUCAUUUUCUUCAUAAUGGGGUCUAGAAAACGGUGGAGGUGGAUAUGGAGUUUCUUGAUAAUAGGGGGGCGGCGGCGGCGGUGCAUAUUGAUCAUCUGUUAGAUAUGGGGCUGGUGGUGGUGGAGCAGAAUCUGGUGGUGGGUAGUAUUCUCUUCUUUCGUC